This is a long non-coding RNA of Passer domesticus (house sparrow), 531 nucleotides long. RefSeq lists it as uncharacterized. Lineage: Eukaryota; Metazoa; Chordata; Aves; Passeriformes; Passeridae. The record is from RefSeq and is a predicted model, not a curated record. The transcript has 2 exons.
CACAGAGCAGGUGCUCUGUCUCAAGCCCCAUCUCCCCAGCUCUCAAGCUCCUGUUUUCCCCUCCGUGCUCUCUUGCCUCCUCUCCAGCAGAUCAGGCUCUGGUACUGGAGAACACAAGCUGUAUUUUUGUUGUGGUAUGUGGAUUUCUUGCUGUCUCAUGAUUUUGCACUCACGGUGGUGUCCAGACUUGCCUGGAGAACAGGUUUGAACUCUCUCAGGUCUUACACUGCAAGAAGCCACCAGCAGCAAGUUUCUGAAAGUGGAGAGAGGGAUUUUACCCAACUCUUGAUGCUGUUCUGCUUGAAGAGCAAUUUUAUCUCCAAAUUGCUCUCAGCUUGGGAAGCCCACAGACCAGCAUCUCAUGGUGCUUGAGAGGAUACUGACACCCAUAAAAGCAGCUGAAUGUCCUGGAAUUGUGAUCCUCCACGUGUACCUCCAGGCAUUUCCUGGCCUCCGAGUUCAGCUGAGUGUCUGAGCUCCUGCAUGGGUCUAAAUAAUAAAACAUAUGAGUUCCCUGCCAUGUGCCCAGAA